This 384-nucleotide long non-coding RNA is filed under the name Haliotis rubra (blacklip abalone). RNAcentral describes it as "uncharacterized LOC124290858". The record is from RNAcentral. Lineage: Eukaryota; Metazoa; Mollusca; Gastropoda; Lepetellida; Haliotidae.
GUUUCCGUAAUUUCACAUAACACUGUCUUGUAGAGAUACUGUGAUCGUCAAGAUGAAGAACCUGUUUGCUGCUUUGUUGAUGGCGCUAGUGUUGGCCCUCUCUCAGGCCUCCUUUGGUUAUGAUCAAAAGUACGGUUAUGAUAACCGGGGAUACGUGGGAUAUGACUAUCCAAAGGGUGACAGCUACAGACCCUCGUAUGACCCUUAUAAGCCCAAAUAUGGCUCCUACAGGCCCAGGUAUGACUACCAGAAGCCCAAAUAUGACAACUACCAGUACCCUCGCUACUAUUAGCAGCGUUCCUGCCCCAAACCUGAAACGAACCACAGAACAAAAUGGACACUGAUUCGCAAUUAUCAGUAGAGCAAUAAAUUGUAAAACUCUCA